RNAcentral lists this long non-coding RNA (321 nucleotides) under Homo sapiens (human). RNAcentral describes it as "HSALNT0386779". Lineage: Eukaryota; Metazoa; Chordata; Mammalia; Primates; Hominidae. The record is from RNAcentral.
AGGUGCCUGCUCACCCUUCACCUUCCAUCAUGACUGGAAGCUUCCGAAGGCCCUCACAAGAAGCAGAUGCUGGCAACACACUUCCUGUAGAGCCUGUAGAAACCAAUUAGCUAUUUUGUAAAAUAGCUCAAAGUCAAUGAAAGACUAGAGUCAGAUACCCUGGAGGAGUAUUCUCUAGACAAUGAAGUUUUUCACUGAAGUUCAAGUGGAAAGGCAUUGGUUUUCCUCCAGCUGGAAAGAGAAGAAAAGACUGUGCUUCUCAACUUACUUUGUCCGCUGAAGAGAGGCAGACUUGUGUAGUGAGCUCUGGAGCCAGAUUAU